Molecule: ribosomal RNA, 495 nt
Filed under: uncultured bacterium
Lineage: Bacteria
Description: partial 16S ribosomal RNA
Rfam family: Bacterial small subunit ribosomal RNA
Source: RNAcentral
GACGAACGCUGGCGGCGUGCCUAAUACAUGCAAGUAGAACGCUGAAGGAGGAGCUUGCUCUUCUGGAUGAGUUGCGAACGGGUGAGUAACGCGUAGGUAACCUGCCUGGUAGCGGGGGAUAACUAUUGGAAACGAUAGCUAAUACCGCAUAACAGUAGAUGUUGCAUGACAUUUACUUAAAAGGUGCAAUUGCAUCCCUACCAGAUGGACCUGCGUUGUAUUAGCGAGUUGGUGGGGUCACGGCUCACCAAGGGGACGGUACAUAGCCGACCUGUAACGGUGAUCGAGCACACUGGGACUGGAACACGGCCCAAGCCCCCUCGGGAGGGAAGAGGAGGGGAACGUCGGAAAUGGACGGAAGUCUGACCGAGCAAAGCCGCGGGAGGGAAGGAGGGUUUCGGGUCGUAAAGCUCUGUUGUAAGGGAAGAACGAGUGUGGGAGUGGAAAGUUCACACGGUGACGGUAUCUGACCAGAAAGGGACGGCUAACUACGUG